GGAGGGGAGGGGGCACAGCUAAGAGAGCAGAUUCAAACUGGCCAAAGGGAUAUUCCAUAUCAUGUAACGUCAUGCCCAGUAUGUUACCUGGGAGGGGCUGGCCGGGGGAGGGAGGCAGCAAUUGCGGCUCGGGGACAGUUAGCGUCAGUCGGCGGGUGGUUUGCAUUUCUAUUCAGUUCAGCCACUAUUUUUCCAGCCGGUUUGGCAUCUUUUUUUCCCAGCUCAGUAUUCGCGCAGCUCAACAACCUUUGCAAAAUACAACACAUCUUACACUAGAGAGAGCUGCAGCACUGUUGUCAGGAUACACGAUAUGAUCACCUCUGUGAAUAUUGAAGAGACAAGAGUCUGGACAGGGGAAAAAAGAAGAGCCUUCAUUCUGAUCUUAUUAGGCUGCUUGACAAACUUUUAAUUGCGUAUGCGCCUCUGUGAAUCAGCUUUACUGUAUUAGUAAUAAUGUGUAAAACCAAACUGUUAGAAACAGCUUGGCCAUCAGUAACAGGCACAGUGGUGCUCAGCCUAACAGUAAGGAAGGAAAAAUCUUUUAAUGGAUUUGUAGCAAAAGGAGACGUUAUACAGUCAAACUCCUACAGUGCUAAAGUUCAGAUAAAGAACUUUUACUUUCUUCAGUGAGCCCGGAGUAAUCAUCCAUUAUUAAUCACUGCAUAUUCACACUCCCCGAGUCCUCUGAACUCCUAGAUGCCCUGUCCAUAUUGGUAUGAGCAUGCUGAGAUUGCAUUCUUAUACCGAGCAUAAGCAAAGACUCUUCAGUCCAAGCCUGACACACAGAUUCCUCCGCCCCCCUCCUGCCGCUCCCACCAAGACGAGUGCACCACCUCCUCCUCAUUCCCAUCUGACGCAGGAAUAGGAAGUGGCACUCCAAGAUGAGAAUCCUGAAGGCAAUCAGGACCCGUAGCCACCCUUCUGGAGGCACAUAACAUAAACGAAACUGCAUGGACAGAUGUUCUUUUGAUCCAGCUGGACCAGAUGAGGAUAACCACCCCCUGCUCUUCAUCAGUUACCCUCCAGUUUAGUGAUGGAGUAAUUUGUGAUUCUGACAACUAACUCCUUCCAUCAAUGAUCACUCAGACUUGCUUUUAUCAGUUAUUAAAACUAUUUGAUCAAACGUGGCUAACUUUGCUUGACUUUGAUUAGGGAAUAUUCAGACAAAACGUCACUGUGGGAGGAAUGGUCAGCUCCAGCAACAGGCUGGUAACAGGAGCAGGAAUGUCUUAAAGGUGCAGCUACUCAUGCAGCAAACAUCUGGCCCUUGCUUUACUCCUUCCAAUACUUCCUGGUAACUUAUGAAAAAAUCAUACUUGGAGUAAAAAUAACCCUGUUCUCCUACUGAAGCUGUGAUUGUGAAAACCUCGACAAAACAGCAUUAUAAAAGCCACAGUCUAAUUGUAUUUCUCAUGUAUGCAUUCUAAUGACAACAUUUUUAAUGAAAUUUACUGAGGUGAAACACAGGUCUAUUUAACAUCUGUGAUUCACCCAAGUUCAAGCUGCCAAAAGAUUGAAUGAC
This is a non-coding RNA of Phalacrocorax carbo (great cormorant), 1522 nucleotides long. NCBI's taxonomy places the organism in Eukaryota, Metazoa, Chordata, Aves, Suliformes, Phalacrocoracidae. The record is from RefSeq and is a predicted model, not a curated record.